UACGUAGGGUGCAAGCGUUGUCCGGAAUUAUUGGGCGUAAAGAGCUCGUAGGCGGUUUGUCGCGUCUGCUGUGAAAACUCGGGGCUUAACUCCGGGCCUGCAGUGGGUACGGGGCAGACUAGAGUGCGGUAGGGGAGACUGGAAUUCCUGGUGUAGCGGUGAAAUGCGCAGAUAUCAGGAGGAACACCGGUGGCGAAGGCGGGUCUCUGGGCCGUAACUGACGCUGAGGAGCGAAAGCGUGGGGAGCGAACAGG
This 254-nucleotide ribosomal RNA is filed under the name uncultured bacterium. RNAcentral describes it as "partial 16S ribosomal RNA". It matches the Rfam family "Bacterial small subunit ribosomal RNA", at positions 524 to 776 of the family's 1533-position model. The record is from RNAcentral.